AGAGAGAGAGAGAGAGAGAGAGAGAGAGAGAGAGAGAGAGAGAGAUGCAGGGACGAAAGAGGAGGAGGGGAAGGAGGAAAAGAGGAGAAGGAGAAAGAACAGAAGGAGAAAGAAAAAGAAAGAAGAAAUUAAUAUCAAACAGCUACUGAGGGCUGGGGGCCUGGUCAGGCCUAGCAGCUUCCUGAGCGCAGUACAUGGAGCCUCUGAACCAGCUCCUGCUAUCAUCUCCGUUCUCAGGAAGCUGAGUCACAGGGAGGUAAAGAAACUGAGCUGGGGGUUGUGCUGCAGCUGGGCGGGGAAGGAAUGUGAACAUGGGCAGCCAUUUCCUGAGGCCAGCUCUGAACUACCCAGAUACAUACACUGCUUGCUAAAAGAACCUGUAAACAAAAGAGACCCUGGACAGCCCUGGAGAGCCUGCACUCUCAUCGUCAUCAGAAAUCUUCUGAUGGGGUGCCCCUAGUAGGGCCACAAGACCUCUCUGAUCAGCUCUCUGUAGCCACAGUGCUUCCGGAGUGAUGAGGAAUCCUCUCUGGGAACGCCUUCUGUCUGCCCACGCCUGUCCCAGCAACUCUCUGAUGGAUUCAAGAGGCUCCUUGUCUUACGGAAGACUGCUGCCUUCAGAGUUGAUGGACCCAGCAUGUUUAGCCCGAAUGAGGGAGAAAAGAAGCAUAGAUUUCUUUUGGUGAGAUGGAGGGGUUUUUUAUUAAUUUAUUUACUUAUUAAGACAAGAUCUCUUUGUAGUACUGAUUAUCUCGGAGCGCACUAUGUAGACACUCUAAAACUCACACAGGAAGAUCUCAGGGAUCUUCUUGCUUCUAUCUCUUGAGUGCUAGGAUCAAAGGCAUGUACCAUAGUGCCUGGCCUCGUUCUCUGCUCAGUCCAUGUCCCCAGUGUUGUAGGCUUUCUUUCUCCCUCCUCUUUUGGCCCUUCUGAGACAGACACAUUUACCUGAGGGCCUCCGUGUGACAUCACACUGGGGGUGGGUUCAACAGUUUCAUCCCCAAAUGAUGAUUCAGUAAGGCUUACCCCCUGCACUCCACACAAACCGCCUACCAGGCCAAACAGAACGUCUGCCAAGGCCAUCCUACCUGUGGCUUUCUUUACAUGGGACCUCCAUGGAGCCCUUCUAGGUUAACAGACAAUAAGUGGAGUCAACACAUCCCCAUCAGCUUGUAGAAGCUACUGAAAACAUCUAACCUUCUUCCCAAGACUGGAUUCUUUACUCUGUCAGGGGUUGAGGAGGAGGGGAGGCCAUGACGGAGACCAGAGAGGGAACGGUCUCCAGUACAAGCCUGGCUCUGAAAGCACUCCUAGCCUUUAAUCCCAGCACUUUGGAGGCAAAUGAAUUGGAUCUCUGUGAGUGCAAGACAAGCCAGAUCUAUAUAAUGAGGCCCGUCAUUGUCGUCAUCAUCGUCAUCAUCAUCAUCAUCAUCAUUAUCAUCAUCAUCAAAAAAGGCUUUUCCCAAACAAAAAAAUCCAGUCCCUCAUUUGCAUACAUUGUGGCCCUCGUUGGGACAGCCACAACCCAUCAUUUAUACCUGGGAUUACUCGCUCACUCCCGUGCGUCUUGCUCUAUUUAAAUGAGCCAAAAAUGAAUAAUGUCCGGGUCCA
Rattus norvegicus (Norway rat) is the source of this 1611-nucleotide long non-coding RNA. RefSeq lists it as uncharacterized. The record is from RefSeq and is a predicted model, not a curated record. Lineage: Eukaryota; Metazoa; Chordata; Mammalia; Rodentia; Muridae.